Molecule: ribosomal RNA, 231 nt
Filed under: Triticum aestivum (bread wheat)
Lineage: Eukaryota; Viridiplantae; Streptophyta; Magnoliopsida; Poales; Poaceae
Description: partial small subunit ribosomal RNA
Source: RNAcentral
AUGAAUGCUGCGACAAGUCUAGAACCUAGAGCAAAGGCCACCCUGGUUCUCGGAGGGGAAUCGUUCACACUGGCGGCGAUGAGGGAGAAGAGCAUGGUGAUCCUCAAGGAGUACAUCACCAAGCACAACGUCCCAAACGAUGUCCCUGAUGAAUCCAUCGAGGGCCCAUCGGAUGAGGAGGGUGAGGCACUUGCUAAAAACCCGCCCAAGAAAUCAAAGAAGCAGAAGUGA